Molecule: transfer RNA, 72 nt
Filed under: Anolis carolinensis (green anole)
Lineage: Eukaryota; Metazoa; Chordata; Lepidosauria; Squamata; Anolidae
Rfam family: tRNA
About the family: Transfer RNA (tRNA) molecules are approximately 80 nucleotides in length.
Source: Rfam by way of RNAcentral
GUCUGAGUGGUGUGGUGGUUUGAGCACUGGACUGCAACUCCUGAGACUAGGGUUCAAGUCCCUGCUCUGCCA